Molecule: ribosomal RNA, 253 nt
Filed under: uncultured bacterium
Lineage: Bacteria
Description: partial 16S ribosomal RNA
Rfam family: Bacterial small subunit ribosomal RNA
Source: RNAcentral
UACAGAGGUCUCAAGCGUUGUUCGGAUUCAUUGGGCGUAAAGGGUGCGUAGGCGGCGUGGUAAGUCGGAUGUGAAAUCCCGGGGCUCAACCCCGGAACUGCAUUCGAUACUGCCUUGCUUGAGCACUGGAGAGGAGACUGGAAUUUACGGUGUAGCAGUGAAAUGCGUAGAUAUCGGAAGGAAGACCAGUGGCGAAGGCGAGUCUCUGGACAGUUGCUGACGCUGAGGCACGAAGGCCAGGGGAGCAAACGGG